AUUGAACGCUGGCGGCAGGCCUGACACAUGCAAGUCGAGCGGCAGCACGGGUACUUGUACCUGGUGGCGAGCGGCGGACGGGUGAGUAAUGCCUAGGAAUCUGCCUGGUAGUGGGGGAUAACGUCCGGAAACGGGCGCUAAUACCGCAUACGUCCUACGGGAGAAAGUGGGGGAUCUUCGGACCUCACGCUAUUAGAUGAGCCUAGGUCGGAUAGCUAGUUGGUGAGGUAAUGGCUCACCAAGGCGACGAUCCGUAACUGGUCUGAGAGGAUGAUCAGUCACACUGGAACUGAGACACGGUCCAGACUCCUACGGGAGGCAGCAGUGGGGAAUAUUGGACAAUGGGCGAAAGCCUGAUCCAGCCAUGCCGCGUGUGUGAAGAAGGUCUUCGGAUUGUAAAGCACUUUAAGUUGGGAGGAAGGGCAGUUACCUAAUACGUGAUUGUUUUGACGUUACCGACAGAAUAAGCACCGGCUAACUCUGUGCCAGCAGCCGCCGUAA
Molecule: ribosomal RNA, 501 nt
Filed under: uncultured bacterium
Lineage: Bacteria
Description: partial 16S ribosomal RNA
Rfam family: Bacterial small subunit ribosomal RNA
Source: RNAcentral